RNAcentral lists this ribosomal RNA (336 nucleotides) under Triticum aestivum (bread wheat). Its description in RNAcentral is "partial small subunit ribosomal RNA". Lineage: Eukaryota; Viridiplantae; Streptophyta; Magnoliopsida; Poales; Poaceae. The record is from RNAcentral.
AAAGCUCGCGGUUUUCCUGGCAUGCUUGGCUCAAUAGAUUGCAUGCAUUGGAGUUGGAAGAAUUGUUCAAAGGCAUGGCAUGGGCAAUUCCACGGCCAAACAAAGGGUUCCACUAUAAUCCUUAAAGCGGUGGCCGAUCAGGAGACUUGGAUAUGGCAUGCAUUCUUUGGAAUGCCUGGAUCUUCGAAUGACAUCAAUGUUGUUAACCGGUCACCACUGAUGAAUAAUAUUGCAAACGGUGAGUUGCCACCGGUGCAGUUUGUAGCAAAUGGCCGUACGUACAACUAUGACAAUUAUCUAGCGGAUGGCAUCUAUCCAAAGUGGCAAACCUUCGUG